RNAcentral lists this long non-coding RNA (264 nucleotides) under Pan troglodytes (chimpanzee). RNAcentral describes it as "long non-coding RNA NONPTRT001147". Lineage: Eukaryota; Metazoa; Chordata; Mammalia; Primates; Hominidae. The record is from RNAcentral.
AAGUUUCCUGUUCUUGUUUGAUUAAAAAAAAGUACACUUCCAUUCAUUGUUUCCAUGUAACUUCCUAUACUUUUUACUAAAAAAGGUUGAAAUCUAGGAUAAAUUAUGAGCUAUCUCUCGGGCAAAGAAACGAUUUCAUUUCAGGAAGACUUAGUUAUUUGGAUAAUUUGCUUAUGUGGAAUAAUCUCAUUGCCAGUCAGUGUUGAAUAAGUGAGGCAUUUUUUGUGUGGCGGAAAGGUGGUUCUUUGGGCCAGAUGAAGUAAG